GAUGAACGCUGGCGGCGUGCCUAAUACAUGCAAGUCGAGCGAACGGACGAGAAGCUUGCUUCUCUGAUGUUAGCGGCGGACGGGUGAGUAACACGUGGAUAACCUACCUAUAAGACUGGGAUAACUUCGGGAAACCGGAGCUAAUACCGGAUAAUAUUUUGAACCGCAUGGUUCAAAAGUGAAAGACGGUCUUGCUGUCACUUAUAGAUGGAUCCGCGCUGCAUUGGCUAGUUGGUAAGGUAACGGCUUACCAAGGCAACGAUGCAUAGCCGACCUGAGAGGGUGAUCGGCCACACUGGAACUGAGACACGGUCCAGACUCCUACGGGAGGCAGCAGUAGGGAAUCUUCCGCAAUGGGCGAAAGCCUGACGGAGCAACGCCGCGUGAGUGAUGAAGGUCUUCGGAUCGUAAAACUCUGUUAUUAGGGAAGAACAUAUGUGUAAGUAACUGUGCACAUCUUGACGGUACCUAAUCAGGAAGCCACGGCUAACUACGUG
This 497-nucleotide ribosomal RNA is filed under the name uncultured bacterium. Its description in RNAcentral is "partial 16S ribosomal RNA". It matches the Rfam family "Bacterial small subunit ribosomal RNA", at positions 28 to 507 of the family's 1533-position model. The record is from RNAcentral.